RNAcentral lists this non-coding RNA (23 nucleotides) under Cricetulus griseus (Chinese hamster). The record is from RNAcentral. Lineage: Eukaryota; Metazoa; Chordata; Mammalia; Rodentia; Cricetidae.
GAAAAAGGCAGGACAGAAGAACA